Alligator sinensis (Chinese alligator) is the source of this 1148-nucleotide long non-coding RNA. RefSeq lists it as uncharacterized. The transcript has 2 exons. The record is from RefSeq and is a predicted model, not a curated record. NCBI's taxonomy places the organism in Eukaryota, Metazoa, Chordata, Crocodylia, Alligatoridae.
GUGUCGUAUCAGGGAGGAGGCAGAGGGUGGCUGUCUUGCAAGGAUGUUGACAUUAAAACGUAAAGCCCAGCCUCAUACAAAACUGACUCCAUUACAGAAGUGGUCUAGAAAUCCCCCAGCAGGAUGUCAGAUCCUGUCUCCAGCACAAGCUCUUGACCACGAGCUAGCUCCCACGUGCUGAUGGCAGCUCUGGGAAUGACCACUCGGGGCCAAGGGGAGUCAAUGGCAGUUUUGCUGGCAGCUCUGCCUGUCUCUCUGUUCUAGACCCCAGGGAAGGCAGGUGAGGAUAUCCGAAGGGAAGCAGAGAACUGUGCUUCCCAACAGCAGGGAAGGCAGGUCCUAGCUUCAGCGUCUUGCCCAGACAGAUCGCUGAUAGACGUGGUCCUGAUAAAGGUUCUCAUAAAAUCGCUGAAGGAGCCCUGUCUGGGCCUGAGCUGCAGUUUGGGCACACUAGAGCCAGAAGUUUGCAGAGCUACUCCAUCGUAUACACAGCGGCACAACAGGGUACCUUUCCAUAAGGUAUAAGCAAGCCUAUCCCAAUGUCAGGAAUACAGCAGGCAGGAAAAUGCAUUCCCAAGCCCCUCUCCUCCCAGCUAACGGACAAGACAGUCAGGUGAAAAGGGAAUCAACACAACCUGUGCCAGGAGCUGCUCUGCCAGGCUGCCAGCCUCCUCCCUGCCCUUGGACAUGGGAUCUAAGAGCAACGUCAAUGUGUGAAUCAGUGACAGGCUGGGAGAGCAGCUGUACAGCUGAACCUCCCGUUCCCAAACAGACUUUACGUCUGCUAGGAACCAACACUUCCGACCUCCUUGCUGACCAACCAAAAGGGCUGGCCACUACACAGAGCUCAGGAACCCCCAGCCCUCACCAGCAGCAAUGCUGCCUGCCAGCCAGGAUCUUGCACACAGGGUAUCUCUACUGGCUUUGAGAGGAACCUUCUUGGGAUACAUCUCCCACUAACUCAGAUUUUCCAGCAAGAAUUAAGCUGUCCUGUUGCUGCCUUUACCACUUACCCAAGCCGAUACCAAGUUUAAUUUGUCAGCUGCCCGAAAGUUGCCAGCAGGGGAGUUGCCCGCAAACAGAAAAACAACAAAAAAGUUAAUGAUCUGGGCUUUUUCUUAAUAAAUAGGCAAACUGGCUAAGCCGGA